UACGGGAGGCAGCAGUGGGGAAUAUUGCACAAUGGGCGAAAGCCUGAUGCAGCCAUGCCGCGUGUGUGAAGAAGGCCUUCGGGUUGUAAAGCACUUUCAGUCAGGAGGAAAGGGUGUGAGUUAAUACCUCACAUCUGUGACGUUACUGACAGAAGAAGCACCGGCUAACUCCGUGCCAGCAGCCGCGGUAAUACGGAGGGUGCGAGCGUUAAUCGGAAUUACUGGGCGUAAAGCGUACGCAGGCGGUUUGUUAAGCGAGAUGUGAAAGCCCCGGGCUCAACCUGGGAACUGCAUUUCGAACUGGCAAACUAGAGUGUGAUAGAGGGUGGUAGAAUUUCAGGUGUAGCGGUGAAAUGCGUAGAGAUCUGAAGGAAUACCGAUGGCGAAGGCAGCCACCUGGGUCAACACUGACGCUCAUGUACGAAAGCGUGGGGAGCAAACGGGAUUAGAUACCCCGGUAGUCCACGCCGUAAACGAUGUCUACUAGAAGCUCGGAACCUCGGUUCUGUUUUUCAAAGCUAACGCAUUAAGUAGACCGCCUGGGGAGUACGGCCGCAAGGUUAAAACUCAAAUGAAUUGACGGGGGCCCGCACAAGCGGUGGAGCAUGUGGUUUAAUUCGAUGCAACGCGAAGAACCUUACCUACACUUGACAUACAGAGAACUUUCUAGAGAUAGAUUGGUGCCUUCGGGAACUCUG
Molecule: ribosomal RNA, 698 nt
Filed under: Pseudoalteromonas sp. H40
Lineage: Bacteria; Pseudomonadati; Pseudomonadota; Gammaproteobacteria; Alteromonadales; Pseudoalteromonadaceae
Description: bacterial SSU rRNA
Rfam family: Bacterial small subunit ribosomal RNA
Source: RNAcentral